AUUGAACGCUGGCGGCAGGCCUAACACAUGCAAGUCGAACGAGUGGCGGACGGGUGAGUAAUGUAUGGGAAACUGCCUGAUGGAGGGGGAUAACUACUGGAAACGGUAGCUAAUACCGCAUACCAUCGGAUGUGCCCAGAUGGGAUUAGCUAGUAGGUGGGGUAAAGGCUCACCUAGGCGACGAUCCCUAGCUGGUCUGAGAGGAUGACCAGCCACACUGGGACUGAGACACGGUCCAGACUCCGACGGGAGGCAGCAGUGGGGAAUAUUGCACAAUGGGCGCAAGCCUGAUGCAGCCAUGCCGCGUGUAUGAAGAAGGCCUUCGGGUUGUAAAGUACUUUCAGCGGGGAGGCGUUACCCGCAGAAGAAGCACCGGCUAACUACGUGCCAGCAGCCGCGGUAAUAC
This 406-nucleotide ribosomal RNA is filed under the name uncultured bacterium. RNAcentral's name for it is "partial 16S ribosomal RNA". It matches the Rfam family "Bacterial small subunit ribosomal RNA", at positions 30 to 526 of the family's 1533-position model. The record is from RNAcentral.